CUGACGACUGAUUAAGCUAAAAGAAAAGAGACUAGUUUAUAUGAAUAUAUAACAGUGAGCUUAUGUAAGCAGAUGUUAAAAAGACUAAAGUUAUCCAACGAUAUCAGAUGUUAUAACUAGAACUAUUCACACAUGCAAGAAUGAAAAUUCCAGAACCGAUAAGACAUAUAAAGUACUAGAAACCCCAAGUGUCCUAUGACCCUAUAAAACUUACCUUAUACCAGGUUGGGAAGAACAAAGGGGGGGGGGAAAUACUAGCCUCCUG
Non-coding RNA from Pelobates cultripes (western spadefoot toad), 265 nucleotides. The record is from the annotation of a GenBank genome assembly. NCBI's taxonomy places the organism in Eukaryota, Metazoa, Chordata, Amphibia, Anura, Pelobatidae.